RNAcentral lists this ribosomal RNA (505 nucleotides) under uncultured bacterium. RNAcentral's name for it is "partial 16S ribosomal RNA". It matches the Rfam family "Bacterial small subunit ribosomal RNA", at positions 28 to 507 of the family's 1533-position model. The record is from RNAcentral.
GACGAACGCUGGCGGCGUGCCUAAUACAUGCAAGUAGAACGCACAGUUUAUACCGUAGCUUGCUACACCAUAGACUGUGAGUUGCGAACGGGUGAGUAACGCGUAGGUAACCUGCCUGGUAGCGGGGGAUAACUAUUGGAAACGAUAGCUAAUACCGCAUAAUAUUGAUUAUUGCAUGAUAAUUGAUUGAAAGAUGCUAUUGCAUCACUACCAGAUGGACCUGCGUUGUAUUAGCUAGUAGGUGAGGUAACGGCUCACCUAGGCGACGAUACAUAGCCGACCUGAGAGGGUGGUCGGCCACACGGGGACGGCGACACGGCCCAGACUCCUACAGGAGGCAGCAGUAGGGAAUCUUCGGCAAUGGACGAAAGUCUGACCGAGCAACGCCGCGUGAGUGAAGAAGGUUUUCGGAUCGUAAAGCUCUGUUGUAAGAGAAGAACGGGUGUGAGAGCGGAAAGUUCACACUGUGACGGUAUCUUACCAGAAAGGGACGGCUAACUACGUG